This 468-nucleotide ribosomal RNA is filed under the name uncultured bacterium. RNAcentral describes it as "partial 16S ribosomal RNA". It matches the Rfam family "Bacterial small subunit ribosomal RNA", at positions 28 to 507 of the family's 1533-position model. The record is from RNAcentral.
GACGAACGCUGGCGGCGCGCCUAACACAUGCAAGUCGAACGGAGUCACGAGGAGCUUGCUUUUCUUGACUUAGUGGCGAACGGGUGAGUAACGCGUGAGUAACCUGCCCUGGAGUGGGGGACAACAGUUGGAAACGACUGCUAAUACCGCAUAAGCCCACGGAUCUGCAUGGAUCUGCGGGAAAAGGAUUUAUUCGCUCUAGGAUGGACUCGCGUCCAAUUAGCUAGUUGGUGAGGUAACGGCCCACCAAGGCGACGAUUGGUAGCCGGACUGAGAGGUUGAACGGCCACAUUGGGACUGAGACACGGCCCAGACUCCUACGGGAGGCAGCAGUGGGGGAUAUUGCACAAUGGGGGAAACCCUGAUGCAGCGACGCCGCGUGGAGGAAGAAGGUUUUCGGAUUGUAAACUCCUGUCGUGAGGGACGAUAAUGACGGUACCUAACAAGAAAGCACCAGCUAACUACGUG